RNAcentral lists this long non-coding RNA (472 nucleotides) under Elaeis guineensis (African oil palm). Its description in RNAcentral is "long non-coding RNA (EGUI_LNC080742)". The record is from RNAcentral. Lineage: Eukaryota; Viridiplantae; Streptophyta; Magnoliopsida; Arecales; Arecaceae.
GAAUGAGAGUACAGGUAUUCGUUGAGAACGAGAGUACUGAGUGUGACCACCUCGAGCAGUCAUAAGGAAGUCUACCUUCUCAUCGAUGACUAGCUCGAUGCUGCAGUUGUGUGUCUAGUUCUUUGACCUGAGGUGCAUCGAUGGUUCACCUUGAGUGUGUUAUAGUUUGACUACACCAUAACUCGAUCUCCUAGCCAUUCAAAAUCCUGAGGUGUAUGUUGGCUGUAGCAUAUCCAUUGUAGGAACCAGAUCGUACUAAGAUGGGAUCUAUCAACCUCGGUAGAUGAGAGAAGUAGUCCUAUGAGAUCAUGACAUGUCUCAUUACCAUACAGAAUUGAACCUAACUGGGUCACACAAAUAAGGGUUAGGGUCUGGAUGUCAUCAAUUGGGCUACCCCAAUUGAUUUGGAUAAGAUCCAAUUAGGUUCAAAGAAAUCGUGCUAGCACUCGAUUGAGCCUAACUUUCUCCUCGU